UGCAAUGCAUGAUGGGAGUAAAUACUUGCAGCGAGCUGAAUUUGUGAAGACUGAUGUCGAAGACAUGACCCGUAUUUACUUAUAAAAUAACCGUUUAAAAUUCCACUAUGAAGCGGGUUUUUACCCUUUCAGAGAAGACCCAUGGCUCAGGGCAGAUACAGUUUGCAUGGCAGACAACGCUUGGCAACUACCUGGCCACAACUGGUCUCAACAACUCAGUAAAUCUGUAUGACAGGCACGGAGAACUCAAAGAUGAAAUCAGCCUGCCUGGGACGUGCACUGGCCUCGGUUGGGACAAGGACGGCGACACGCUGGCCAUGAUCUGUGACCGUAGCAGCGUGGUGUUCCUGUGGGAUGCUAACACCCACCGGACUGGCCAGGUCGACAGCGGCUUCAAGGACUCCUUGUGCUUCUUGCUGUGGUCCAAGGUGGGCCCCCAGCUGGCCAUCGGGACCAGCAAGGGAAACCUGCUGAUAUACAACCACCAGACAUCAAGGAAAGUGCCGAUACUUGGCAAGCACACCAAGAAGAUCUUGUGCGGUGCCUGGAGCUCUCAGAACCUGCUGGCCUUGGGCAGUGAAGACAAGAACAUCACAGUCAGCAACGCAGAGGGGGACACGCUCAAACAGACUAUUGUGAGAAUGGACCCAACCGACCUGCAGUUCUCAGAAAUGAAGACAGAUGAAAGAACUUCGCAAGGAGAAACCACGAUAAGUGCGAGUGUCGGCAAGAAGACGCUGUUCCUGUUGAACAUCGAUGAUCCAGACAAUCCGAUAGAGCUCGCAUUUCAGCAGAGAUACGGAGCCAUUGUUGCCUACAAAUGGUACGGUGAUGGCUACAUCAUGCUGGGUUUCUCCAAUGGUUACUUCAUCGUCAUCUCCACCCAUCUCAAGGAGAUUGGCCAGGAGUUGUUUCAAGCGCGCAACCACAAGGACCACCUGUCGUCCAUCGCUAUAUCCCUGGCUCUCAACAAGGCGGCCUCCUGUGGAGAUAACAGCGUCAAGAUCCACGACCUCUCCGACCUGAAGGAGGUCUACUCCAUCGUGACCCUGGAUGAGGAGACCAAAGGCCUGGGUCAGGUGGGCUGGACAGAUGAUGGUCAACUCAUGGCGGUCAGCUCGUCCCGAGGCUAUCUCUACGUCUACCUUACCAAGCUGCCUGUCCUGGGUGAUUCCCAGGGCACCAGACUGGCCUUCCUGACCUCUCUGCUGGAGGUCACCGUGGUGAACCAAGUCGAACAGGAACCGUCCAUACCUAUCAACAUUGAAGUUGAGCCCAACUUUGUCGCCCUCGGACCCUACCAUUUAGCAGUGGGGAUGAACAACAGGGCCUGGUUCUACCUGCUUGGAGAAAAAGAACCAGAGUUAACAAUAACUGAGCCACCAGAGGAAUCAGAGGAAGACUGGCCAGAGAAGUUGAAAGACAGAGAGUAUCUAGGCACGAUCAUCAACAUGUGCCUCAAUGCCGACUAUGCGGCUGUCUACUUUGAGAACAGCGUUCAAUUGCACCUGAUUGAAGCGGAAGGCUCAGGUGAUAAUGAGGAGAGAGAGACAAGAUUGUUUCCUGAGGAUGGUCAGGGAGGCAUCACGUGCCACGCACUAACAUCCGACUUCCUCAUCUACGGCACAUCAACUGGAGAGCUGAUGUUCUUCUACCUGGAGGACUGGCAGUUUGUGAACGAGUUCAGACACGAGGUGGGGAUCCGCAGAGUGUUCCCUGACCCCAGCGGCACCAGACUAAUCUUCAUUGACGACAAGAGUGACGGCUUUGUGUACAAUCCGGUCAACGACCAGAUAUUGGAGAUUCCCAACUUCUCACCCACGGUGAAGGGCAUUCUCUGGGAGAACUGGCCGUACGACAAGGGUGUCUUUGUAGCUUACGAUGAGGAUAAGCUCUACACCUACUUGUAUUCCAGAGAGACUGUGAGAGGUCCUGCAGUGACCCUUACUGGCACCACCAAGCUACCCUUUGCCCAGCAGCCCUUGAUGUUGUACAACGGAGAGAUGACGUGUCAGACACAGAGUGGCAAGACAGCGAUGGUACAGCUCAACUCGCACAACUUCCUGGAGAGGCCCCACGAUCUCCAGCCAGACGAUCUGAAGGUAGCCAUUGACAAGAGCAUCAAGCUGAAGCGGUUCAAGGAGGCUUGGAUGCUGUGCCAGUUGGCCAGCAACAAGGACUUGUGGAGGGAACUCGCCAAGGCAGCGGUGACUCACUUGGAGUUAGAGUUUGCUGUUCGGGUCUACCGCAGCAUUGGAGAGGCAGGGAUGGUGCUUUCAAUACAGAAAAUCAUGGGCAUUGAUGAUCGCAAUCUACUGUCGGGCCAUCUGGCAAUGUUCCAGGGUGACUUCAACCUGGCUCAGGAUCUCUUCCUGGCAUCUAGUCGGCCUAUUACGGCUCUUGAGAUGAGGCGUGAUCUUCUGAACUGGGACCAGGCACUCAAGUUGGCCAAGACACUGUCACCUGCCCAGAUACCAUACAUCUCCAAGGAAUAUGCACAACAGCUGGAAUUCACUGGUGAUUAUGGGAAUGCCCUGGCGCACUAUGAAAAGGGUGUCACGAGAGACAAAGAGCAACGGGAACAUGAUGAGGCCUGUGCGGCAGGCGUGGCCCGCAUGUCCCUCCGUGUCGGUGACAUCCGACGUGGCGUCGGCAUGGCAACCAAGAUGCCUAGCCGCAUCCUGAAGCGAGACUGUGCCGCCAUCUUGGAGAGCAUGAAGCAGUACUCGGAGUCAGCGCUGCUGUAUGAGAAAGGACAGUACUACGAUAAGGCAGCGUCGGUGUACAUACGCAGCAAAAACUGGGCCAAAGUUGGUGAGCUUCUGCCCAACGUUACAUCUCCCAAGAUCCACAUCCAGUAUGCCAAGGCUAAGGAGGCAGACGGACGACACAAGGAAGCCGCCUUGGCCUACGAGAACGCGAAAGACUGGGACAACGUCAUCAGAAUUCAGUUGGAUUUCCUUCAUAACCCUGAGGAAGCAGUGCGCAUCGUCCGAGAAACAGGCUCUGUAGAAGGAGCCAAGAUGGUGGCAAGGUUUUUCCAGAAGUUGAAUGACUUUGGUUCAGCCAUCCAGUUCCUGGUCAUGUCCAAGUGCAAUGACGAGGCCUUCCAGUUGGCUCAACAACACAACCAGAUGGAGAUAUAUGCCGAUAUCAUCGGCGAAGAUGCCACCCAGGAGGACUACCAGAGCAUAGCGUUGUACUUUGAGAAUGAGAAGAACCAUCUGAUGGCAGGCAAGUUCUUCCUGCUGUGUCAGCAGUAUGGACGGGCUCUCAAGCAUUUCUUGAAAUGCCCUACCACCAACGAUGACAACCAGGCUGUCGAGAUGGCCAUUGAAACAGUUGGCCGUGCCAAGGAUGACCAGCUGACCCAUCAACUGAUUGACUACCUGAUGGGGGAGACAGACGGCAUGCCCAAGGAUGCCAAGUACCUGUUCCGUCUGUACAUGGCCCUCAAGCAGUACAGAGAGGCAGCCAGGACAGCGAUCAUCAUUGCGAGGGAGGAACAGAUCGCUGGAAAUUAUCGAAACGCUCACGAUGUUCUGCUCAGCAUGUAUCGGGAGCUGAAGAGCCAGAAGAUUAAAAUCCCGACUGAGAUGGCCAGCAAUCUCAUGAUCCUUCACAGCUACAUCCUUGUCAAGAUCCACGUGAAGAGAGGUGACCACAAGAAGGGAGCAAGAAUGUUAAUCAGGGUGGCUAACAACAUCAGCAAGUUCCCGGCUCACAUCGUUCCCAUCUUGACCUCCACGGUCAUCGAGUGUCAUCGUUCUGGCUUGAAGAACUCCUCCUUCAGCUACGCAGCCAUGUUGAUGAGGCCGGAGUACCGCAAUAACAUCGACCUGAAGUACAAGAAAAAAAUCGAGGCAAUUGUUAGGAAACCAGACAAGUCGGAGCAGGAGGAAGACACGUCGCCGUGCCCGUACUGCAAGUACAGCCUGGAAAACACGGAGCUGGUCUGCCCAGAGUGCAAGAACAACGUCCCUUACUGCAUUGUCACUGGGCAACACAUGGUGAGGGAUGACUUCUCUGUCUGCCAUAACUGUGACUUCCCUGCCUUACAUUCCGAGCUCACAAGCUUACUGGAAACAGAAGACUCCUGCCCCAUGUGCUCGGAGCGUCUCAAGCCAGCUGUGGUGCGGAAGAUUGACGACCCCUCAUUGUACCUGCACCCGGAUGAGGGAUCAGAGGAUUAGCAGGAUCAAGGGAUUAAGAUAUGAGGAUGGGGAUUAAGAUCAUCGGCAGUACAUUUGCAAGACCCGGUGGGAUUAGAGCAACAGCACGAAGAAAGGGAUUAGGAUGGUGUUGGAGAUUUGAGGAUUAACAGGAAAAAGAACAAGAGACCUUGAGCAUUCUUGAUUGGAAAACGAGAAAGCCACGUUGAAGGCUUGAUGAUAAGCAGGAAACAACCAGACACCUUCUUGACAUCAGAUCCAAGGAUGAGCAACAAGGGGGAAACAGGAUGUUUAUGUUAAGAAACCAGACUUUUGGAAGUUAAGAUCAGACGAGUCUUUAAAGAAAGCAGACUGAUGAACACCAUGACUAUUGCAAGAAGACAAGGGUCAGCAGUCAAGCAGCACGGUAGCAAUCACUGCACAGGAUUAAAGGAUAAGACAAGACACCAUGAUAAAGAAGCCAGCGAUAAACAUCAAGUAUGACCCAAAAAACAUGAAAUAUUUCACAGAACGUGACACGACAAAAACCGAAUUAAAAACUACAAGAAAAUGAUAUCCAUCUAUGCUUCUUAGGUUUUUUUUAAAUUUCAGUUGCUCUGUCGGCUUCUUUUUGUUUUGCCUAGUAGCUAUCAGUCGUUAUCUUCAGGUUUCUCAUUUUUCUUUCUAAUUUCACCACAUCAGUUAGUGUUGACACCACGGUAAAAGUUACUCCCAUUUACGAAAUAAAGUGCACCCCUAAAAGCCUGUGUUUAGUUGUUACCUUAAAUAUGGCACUACAUAUCCUAUCAUAGUGGCAUGUACAUGUGCAUGCACAUAUAGUAAGAAACAAUACUGCCAAUCCCAACCCGAUCAAUGCGAUUAAUCCAUUACGAAAAAGGGUAAUGUCAAACAGGUUUGGGCACAAAACACAUUGCUUUCCCUUCACUAAGGUAUUCAUGAUUAGAAAGAACAUUUCACACACGAACAAGGCCGCAUAUUCAUGUUUGAUUUUGUGCCAAAUACCUGGGCCUUGACACGGUUUAUAAUAUUGCAGAGUUCACGAUUUGUAUAUUUUAUUGUAUACAGCUUAAGUUGAGAAUGUAUAUACUAUGUAAUAUUCUGUGUGCAUUGACUGACCAAUCAAGCUUGUAAUAAAGUGUCAUAAUUUCACCGCUAUUGAAA
Patiria miniata (bat star) is the source of this 5333-nucleotide RNA transcript. It is a transcript of the gene named WD repeat-containing protein 19-like, with no coding region annotated. NCBI's taxonomy places the organism in Eukaryota, Metazoa, Echinodermata, Asteroidea, Valvatida, Asterinidae. The transcript is spliced from 33 exons. The record is from RefSeq and is a predicted model, not a curated record.